This 68-nucleotide transfer RNA is filed under the name Marmota monax (woodchuck). RNAcentral's name for it is "tRNA.Glu". Lineage: Eukaryota; Metazoa; Chordata; Mammalia; Rodentia; Sciuridae. The record is from RNAcentral.
GGAUUGUGGCUCAGUGGCAGAGCACUUGUCUCUCAUGUAUGAGGUACUGGGUUCCAUCCUCAACACCA